RNAcentral lists this ribosomal RNA (468 nucleotides) under uncultured bacterium. Its description in RNAcentral is "partial 16S ribosomal RNA". It matches the Rfam family "Bacterial small subunit ribosomal RNA", at positions 28 to 507 of the family's 1533-position model. The record is from RNAcentral.
GACGAACGCUGGCGGCGUGCUUAACACAUGCAAGUCGAACGGAAAGGCCCUGCUUUUGUGGGGUGCUCGAGUGGCGAACGGGUGAGUAACACGUGAGUAACCUGCCCUUGACUUUGGGAUAACUUCAGGAAACUGGGGCUAAUACCGGAUAGGAGCUCCUGCUGCAUGGUGGGGGUUGGAAAGUUUCGGCGGUUGGGGAUGGACUCGCGGCUUAUCAGCUUGUUGGUGGGGUAGUGGCUUACCAAGGCUUUGACGGGUAGCCGGCCUGAGAGGGUGACCGGGCACAUGGGGACUGAGAUACGGGCCAGACUCCUACGGGAGGCAGCGGUGGGGAAUAGUGCACAAUGGGCGGAAGCCUGAGGCAGCAACGCCGCGUGCGGGAGGACGGCCUUCGGGUGGUAAACCGCGUUCGCCUGUGACAAAGCGUGAGUGACGGGAAUGGGUAAAGAAGCACCGGCUAACUACGUG